Molecule: RNA transcript, 3810 nt
Organism: Zingiber officinale
Lineage: Eukaryota; Viridiplantae; Streptophyta; Magnoliopsida; Zingiberales; Zingiberaceae
Gene name: WD repeat-containing protein WDS homolog
Exons: 5
Source: RefSeq, a predicted model, not a curated record
CUUUUCUUUAUCGCCAGGAGUCCCCGCUGGAUUUCGUUAGUUUUGGUAGCAGUAGUUUUAGCGGUUCUUCCCAAACCCUAAUUCCCACACGAAGCUGGCGAAUUCGCAAGAGAAAUGGACGAUGACCGGAAUGCGAAUCCCACUCUGCCUUCCGAAUCCAAUCCCGUCAAGGCCCCGCUUCUUUCGGUUCUCGGCGACGCCAGCUUGAUCGACAGGACCGAAUUUAUCAGGGUCAUCGUGCAAUCCCUCUACUCCCUCGGCUACCACAGGGCAGCCGCGAUGCUGGAGUCUGAGUCCGGUAUCUCGCUCGAGUCGCAUGAGUACACCGAGUUGCUCUUCAGCGUGUUGGCGGGGCGGUGGGACGACUGCAUUGCCACCAUUGAGUCCAUUCGCGAUUUGGAGAGCAGCGCCAAAAAUACGGCAGCGUUUCUUGUGUGGAAAGAACAUUUUUUGGAGCUGCUGGGGUUGAAUGAUGGGUUUUUGAUGGCUAAGGACGUGCUAUGGCAGCGAAUUGCCCGGCUGGAUAUGGACCGACAGAGAGUUCAUGGGCUCGCCAGGGAGCUCAUUUCGUCGGAGGGAAUUAUUGAGGUAAAGGAUCGAAUCCGCAGGAGAUUGGCGUUGCUUCUUGAUUUGUUUGAGGUGCUGCCCCCUUGGGUGCGAGUGCCGAGCGGUCGGUUGGAACGCCUUGUGGAAAUGGCAGUUCUCAGGCAGAUCGCGUCGUGCAUUUACCACAACUCACCUGGCGAGGUCACGCUCUAUGAAGAUCACGAAUGCAGCCAAGAACAGAUCCCUUCCAAGUGCAGCCAGAUACUAUAUGAUCACAAAAAUGAAGUUUGGUUUGUUCAGUUCUCAAAUAACGGGGAUUACCUGGCUUCAUCUUCAAGUGAUUGCACUGCCAUCAUAUGGACGGUGAACAUGGACUACAGUUUGUCUUUAAGGCGCAUUCUGGAGGGUCACAUGAAAGCUAUAUCUUAUUUAACAUGGAGCCCAGAUGAUAAAAUGCUUCUUACUUGUGGUAAUGCAGAAGUCCUUAAGUUAUGGGAUGUAUGUAAUGGCUUAUGUAAAUUCACAAUUACUGGUGGAGUAAAUCGAAUUAUCAGCUCAUGCGCAUGGUUUCCAGACUCUCAGAAGAUAGUCUGUGGCAGCUGGGAUCCUGAUAACCGAAUCUUUACAUGUGAUCUAGAGGGAAAUAUACUGGAUGUUUGGGAAGGAGAGAGGAUGCCUAAAGUUACUGAUCUUUCUGUGACACCUGAUGGACAAUGUAUAAUCAGUAUAUGCUCAAGUAAAGAAAUUCUUGUACGUGAUUUCCAUAGAGGAAGUGAAUGGGUCAUACAUGAGGAGCAUUCUAUUACUUCACUCUCACUUUCAAGGGAUGGCCAAUUUAUAAUUGUCAACUUGAAAAAUGAAGAGAUCCACUUGUGGAAUCUUAAUGCGACCUCAAGUUCGCCACAUAAGUUUAGGGGUCACAAAGAAGGAGAGUAUGUAAUUCGUUCAUGUUUUGGUGGGUCAGAUUCUUUAUUUAUUGCCAGUGGUAGUGAGGAUUCUCAGAUUCUCGAAAAUUACUCCCGGUAUUCGUGCGUUAAUCAACGGAUAUAAUAACUUUCGCUACAUUAGUUAGUAGCAGAGCAAGGUUGAUCUUGUGGAAUCAUGUCACUGAGAAGACAACAUGUCAACAACGCUUUUGAUCAUGAUAUGGAGCAAUGGUUAUAAGAGAUGGUUGAUAGACGGGUUGACCUGGUUGUGGGGAGGAUGACAGUGAUGUUGGGAACCUUGAAUAGAGGAAGCCUUGUUCAAUGCAAUAACAAUCACUGAACAAACUCAGAGGAGGAAGAAAACAUUUUUGACGAGGAGGCUUCAUGUAGGCAUCACAGAGCAUCUGAUAAAUUUGCUCGCGACUUGGAACUCCGACUGCAAGAUAAGUUCGUCCCCAUGUCCGCCUCCAAAAUGAGGUGAUAGGACUACGAGGAGGAUCCUACUCUGCGGGAUCCGCCCGGAGCACGACAAGGUCUGGACGGAAUCCAACCUUGGCAAACGACCCCUUUGUCAGCGACAAUGAAGCUCCGAUGAUUGUCUUCGUUGAUGUCUUGGGAUCGUUGAAUUCAUCUUGUCGUGGUCGCUUUGCUACUUCAUCGCUGACAUCCUUGGACGCUAUAUUUGAUGGUCUCGCGGAUUCCACAACAAAGACAACGUUGGCUGUUCCUGUGUAUGAUAAGUCGAUAUAUGAUGACAAUAUAUCUGAUGGGGCUUCAGGCCUGAAGCACUCAUCAUUGGCGAAGUAUGAGGAUGUUUUUUUUUUUGCCAUUCUGUCAGGAUCUGGUCAUGUUUCGACACCUUCAUUUGUGGAUCUUCUUCAAAAACUUUUAGAAACAAAUGCCAGAGUCCAAGGGCAGGAGUGAUGGGAGAUCUUUGGAGGAGGAACAAAAUAUCUCAUAGUUUGAUGAGCUGAUUUCAGGAUUCGAUAGGAAAACUACAGCCACAGACAAUGACCUUGCCUGGAGGGGGCUGCUAAGGAAGCAGUCAUCAAGGCUUAUAGCAAGGAAGAGAUAAUUGCAGGAGAUUUAUUAAACAUGAUCAACAACCCCUCAGGCUCUGAGCUGCAUAUGACCUAAAGGUUAAUGGAAGGGGGAAAACAGUUGUUAGUGGAGCAGGUUGGCCCUAUCAUCCUAUCAGAAGAGACCACAAGAGAGAUCGUUCUAACAUGGGCUAGAGCAACAAAGAAGACACUCAUUGCAUUUACUCUCAAAGCAUUCUCAUCAGCAUUGUUAGCCAAUCCUGGGAUGAAUGCUGCAGACCUCGAAUAUGUGUUAUUGGGAUGGAAUCUGAGAGGAGAUCACAUCAUGGAGGUCAAGAAUGUCAUGGAUGCUCACCAGGAGCUUCUGAACACAGUGUUGGUAUCACAGCGUGCGUGACUUCAAAAGCACAGCAAUAGGACUCCUCAAUGGUUUUCAAGAUGCUAUUAACAAGAUUGUUAUCUCUGCUGACAAAAUGAUCCAACAGAGACCUCCACCAACUACCACUAUCGUUCAACCCCCUGCCAGGAUUCAACAACAGGUAUUGAAUAUUUAUGAUGACAAAGGCAAAGCUCCUGCUGUUGUGAAUUCAACUGGAGGUGUGGUAGCCAAAGAUUUGGACACACUCCUCAAGUUGCUAAAAAGGACAAGGGGUGAUUUUGAACAGUUUAAUGACUUGCAGAGUGCUAUUGGUAGACGUGGCCCUAAAACAGACACGCAUGAAAGAAAUACUAUAAGAGUUCUUACUAAUGCAUGCUUGUACACUCCUUUGUCCGAUCUUGAAGUUCCUUGGUUAGACGUCAGCUCUAGUUAUGAUGGAUUUGGUGGAACCAGUAACUUCCAUUGCAUUAAUUGGUAUUCUUCUCGAAGAGUUACUAGAUAAAUUGCCUCCCUUACGUAAUAUCCAACAUCAUAUUGAUUUGGAGCCGGGAGUGACAUUGACGAACAGAUCGCAUUAAAGAAUGAGCACGUGUGAGCACGAGGAAUUGUUGAUACAAUUGAUUCUUUUCCAUGGUGAUUCUUCUGAUGAUGAUGCAACCAACAAUUCAAGGGCGAAUUUUCUCUUCUCUGAGAAGAUGAUGCGGGAUGAUAAGCAAACUUGCAGAACCCAUAAUUUAUGACUUGGGAUGAACCACGGGGCGGUUUACCAGCCAAAUCGAAAUCUAUAUUUGGCAGAGGCACAAAGAAAUGCCAAUAAAAAUCCUAAGUGGCCACUCGAUGACAGUAAAUUGCGUGAGCUGGAACCCCACCAGACCUAAUUUGCUAGCAUCAGCAAGCGAUGACCGAACAGUUCGCAUAU